UCCUACACCACCCGCUGCUCUACUGCCAGAGCAACUCCAGAUCCCCCUAUUAGGCCCUGAGUUGGGGGGACAGACUCGACAAAGCCACCCCUAGAUGCCAGAGCGCAAGACGUGGUGAUCCCCAUGUCCUUGCUCUGAGCAUGACUCCAUCCCAGGUUGAUUUCACUCACCAUAUUUAAAAGUUUGUACCGCUCGAGAUGCAAAAAUUGACCACAAACUUUGAGAGAUAAAUCAAC
RNAcentral lists this long non-coding RNA (236 nucleotides) under Elaeis guineensis (African oil palm). Its description in RNAcentral is "long non-coding RNA (EGUI_LNC067138)". The record is from RNAcentral. Lineage: Eukaryota; Viridiplantae; Streptophyta; Magnoliopsida; Arecales; Arecaceae.